RNAcentral lists this ribosomal RNA (465 nucleotides) under uncultured bacterium. RNAcentral describes it as "partial 16S ribosomal RNA". It matches the Rfam family "Bacterial small subunit ribosomal RNA", at positions 28 to 507 of the family's 1533-position model. The record is from RNAcentral.
GACGAACGCUGGCGGCGUGCUUAACACAUGCAAGUCGAACGCUGAACCCGCUUCGGUGGGGGAUGAGUGGCGAACGGGUGAGUAACACGUGGGCAACCUGCCCCCGGCUCUGGGAUAACUCCAAGAAAUUGGGGCUAAUACCGGAUGUGACCGCUGGCCGCAUGGUCUGGUGGUGGAAAGGGUUUCCGGCUGGGGAUGGGCCCGCGGCCUAUCAGCUUGUUGGUGGGGUAGUGGCCUACCAAGGCGACGACGGGUAGCCGGCCUGAGAGGGUGACCGGCCACACGGGGACUGAGACACGGCCCAGACUCCUACGGGAGGCAGCAGUGGGGAAUAUUGCGCAAUGGGCGGAAGCCUGACGCAGCGACGCCGCGUGGGGGAUGACGGCCUUCGGGUUGUAAACCUCUUUCAGCAGGGACGAAGCGCAAGUGACGGUACCUGCAGAAGAAGCACCGGCCAACUACGUG